GGAUAGCUGGAGGGGGACGCAGGAAGGUAGGUGAACCGGGGCGAUGGUUGUCCCCGGGUAAGCGUGUAGGAGGAUCCCGAUGAGAGUUGGGGUCAUUAACUCUGAGACGUGAUGCCGGGCCGAUUAAGGCGAAGUCACUGAUCCUAUGCUGCCAAGAAAAGCCCAACAGUGAGUUGGCACGGCACCCGUACCCCAAACCGACACAGGUGGGCGGGUAGAGAAUACCAAGGCGAUCGGGAGAACUAUGGUUAAGGAACUCGGCAAAUUGCAUCCGUAACUUCGGGAGAAGGAUGACCCUAUUAGGGUGAAGGGAUUUACUCCCAGAGCUCGAGAGGGUGGCACAGACCAGGGGGUAGCGACUGUUUACCAGAAACACAGCAGCGUGCCAAGCCGCAAGGCGCAGUAUACGCUGUGACGCCUGCCCAAUGCUGGAAGGUCACGGGGAACGGUUAGUCGUAAGGCGAAGCUGUGAACCUAAGCCCCAGUGAAUGGCGGCCGUAACUAUAACGGUCCUAAGGUAGCGAAAUUCCUUGUCGGGUAAGUUCCGACCUGCACGAAUGGCGUAACGACUUCCCCACUGUCUCAACCAUAGACCCGGCGAAAUUGAAGUACGAGUAAAGAUGCUCGUUAGCUGCGGAAGGACGAAAAGACCCCAUGGACCUUUACUAUAACUUGAUAUUGAGCUUUGUCCUGCAUUGUGUAGGAUAGGUGGGAGACUUGGAAGCGGUGGCGCCAGCUAUCGUGGAGUCAACGUUGAAAUACCACCCUGUGUAUGACGGGGCUCUAACCUGGGUCCAUUAUCUGGAUCAGGAACAGUGUCAGGCGGGUAGUUUGACUGGGGCGGUCGCCUCCUAAAAUGUAACGGAGGCGCCCAAAGGUUCCCUCAGGCUGGUUGGCAAUCAGCCGUCGAGUGCAAUGACACAAGGGAGCUUGACUGCGAGACUGACAGGUCAAGCAGGUGCGAAAGCAGGGCAUAGUGACCCGGCCAUCACGUGUGGAAGUGUGGUCGCUCAACGGAUAAAAGGUACCCUGGGGAUAACAGGCUAAUCUCCCCCAAGAGUCCAUAUCGACGGGGAGGUUUGGCACCUCGAUGUCGGCUCAUCGCAUCCUGGGGCUGAAGCAGGUCCCAAGGGUUGGGCUGUUCGCCCAUUAAAGCGGUACGCGAGCUGGGUUCAGAACGUCGUGAGACAGUUCGGUCUCUAUCCUCCGCAGCCGAAGGUGUGUUGAGCGACAGGCAAGUCUAGUACGAGGUGUGAUUAUCUUCAUCUUUGCCCCCCUAGAUCGGAAGAGCACACGUCUGAACUCCAGUCACAUCUCGUAUGCCGUCUUCU
Molecule: ribosomal RNA, 1331 nt
Filed under: metagenome
Description: bacterial LSU rRNA
Rfam family: Bacterial large subunit ribosomal RNA
Source: RNAcentral